ACUUUAUAAUAAAGUCUUAUGGAAUGUAUGCCGCGUCUAACGCAAUACAAUACAACUUUCAGCAACGGAUCUCUUGGCUCUCGCAUCGAUGAAGAACGCAGCGAAAUGCGAUAAGUAAUGUGAAUUGCAGAAUUCAGUGAAUCAUCGAAUCUUUGAACGCACCUUGCGCCCCUUGGCUAUUCCGAGGGGCAUGCCUGUUUGAGUAUCAUGAACACCUCAACUCUCAUGGUUCACCAUGAUGAGCUUGGACUCUGGGGGUUUUGCUGGCCUGCGGUCGGCUCCCCUCAAAUGAAUCAGCCUCCCAGUGUUUGGUGGCAUCACGGGUGUGAUAAAUAUCUACGCUCGCGGUCGUCUGCCAGGUAACCUUUGGUGACAAAGGUUUGCUGGAGCUCACAGAUGUCUCUCCUCGGCGAGGACAGCUUUUUUGAACGUUCGAUCUCAAAU
RNAcentral lists this ribosomal RNA (444 nucleotides) under uncultured Tomentella. RNAcentral's name for it is "eukaryotic LSU rRNA". The stretch from base 54 to 208 matches the Rfam family "5.8S ribosomal RNA". Lineage: Eukaryota; Fungi; Basidiomycota; Agaricomycetes; Thelephorales; Thelephoraceae. The record is from RNAcentral.